Molecule: long non-coding RNA, 301 nt
Filed under: Carica papaya (papaya)
Lineage: Eukaryota; Viridiplantae; Streptophyta; Magnoliopsida; Brassicales; Caricaceae
Description: long non-coding RNA (CPAP_LNC006505)
Source: RNAcentral
UGAUCACACUUAUUUUAUUCUGCGUUGUAAAUAUGUAUACCGCUUCUCCUUCCCUCCCCCCUUCAAUCAUUUGCUUUGAAAUGCCCCAAUGCCUCGACUCACAUACAGAUGAACGGACUGUCUGCUGCACCUCAUUUUUCGUUACUCUACUAUUUAAGAUACUCGUAAUGACACUCUUAUCACGUGGUGGACUAUAAAUAAAAUCACAAAAAAUAUUAACCAAAAUACCCUGGCGCCGCGACUCAGACAGCGGAUUGUAGCUCUAGUCACAGGUAACUUUUAACGUCCGGUCCGCAAAAAG